This 68-nucleotide transfer RNA is filed under the name Hallerella porci. It matches the Rfam family "tRNA". From Rfam's summary of the family: Transfer RNA (tRNA) molecules are approximately 80 nucleotides in length. The record is from RNAcentral. Lineage: Bacteria; Pseudomonadati; Fibrobacterota; Fibrobacteria; Fibrobacterales; Fibrobacteraceae.
AAUAUAGCUCAGUCUGGUAGAGCGCUUGCUUCGGGAGCAAGAGGUCGUGGGUUCGAAUCCCGCUAUUC